RNAcentral lists this ribosomal RNA (162 nucleotides) under uncultured Rhodobacter sp. RNAcentral's name for it is "partial 16S ribosomal RNA". It matches the Rfam family "Bacterial small subunit ribosomal RNA", at positions 340 to 524 of the family's 1533-position model. Lineage: Bacteria; Pseudomonadati; Pseudomonadota; Alphaproteobacteria; Rhodobacterales. The record is from RNAcentral.
UACGGGAGGCAGCAGUGGGGAACUUGACAAUGGGGGAAACCCUGAUCUAGCCAUGCCGCGUGAGCGAUGAAGGCCUUAGGGUUGUAAAGCUUUUCAGCUGGAAGAUAAUGACGGUACCAGCAGAAGAAGCCCGGCUAACUCCGUGCCAGCAGCCGCGGUAAU